Molecule: ribosomal RNA, 253 nt
Filed under: uncultured bacterium
Lineage: Bacteria
Description: partial 16S ribosomal RNA
Rfam family: Bacterial small subunit ribosomal RNA
Source: RNAcentral
UACGUAGGGUGCGAGCGUUGUCCGGAAUUAUUGGGCGUAAAGAGCUCGUAGGCGGUCUGUCGCGUCGAUCGUGAAAACUUGGGGCUUAACCCUGAGCUUGCGGUCGAUACGGGCAGACUUGAGUUCGGUAGGGGAGACUGGAAUUCCUGGUGUAGCGGUGAAAUGCGCAGAUAUCAGGAGGAACACCGGUGGCGAAGGCGGGUCUCUGGGCCGAUACUGACGCUGAGGAGCGAAAGCGUGGGGAGCGAACAGG